GUUUGGUUUUCACUCUAGUGCAGUGGUUCUUAACCUGGGUUCGAUCGAACUCUAGGGGUUCGGUGAGUCAGUCUCAGGGGUUCGGUGGAGGUCCAGACACACACCCGACUCAUUAUGAUUCAUGAUGACAA
Sphaeramia orbicularis (orbiculate cardinalfish) is the source of this 131-nucleotide long non-coding RNA. RefSeq lists it as uncharacterized. The transcript has 3 exons. NCBI's taxonomy places the organism in Eukaryota, Metazoa, Chordata, Actinopteri, Kurtiformes, Apogonidae. The record is from RefSeq and is a predicted model, not a curated record.